Molecule: ribosomal RNA, 495 nt
Filed under: uncultured bacterium
Lineage: Bacteria
Description: partial 16S ribosomal RNA
Rfam family: Bacterial small subunit ribosomal RNA
Source: RNAcentral
GACGAACGCUGGCGGCGUGCCUAAUACAUGCAAGUAGAACGCUGAAGGAGGAGCUUGCUUCUCUGGAUGAGUUGCGAACGGGUGAGUAACGCGUAGGUAACCUGCCUGGUAGCGGGGGAUAACUAUUGGAAACGAUAGCUAAUACCGCAUAAGAGUAGAUGUUGCAUGACAUUUGCUUAAAAGGUGCAAUUGCAUCACUACCAGAUGGACCUGCGUUGUAUUAGCUAGGUGGUGGGGUAACGGCUCACCAAGGCGACGAUACAUAGCCGACCUGAGAGGGGGAUCGGCCACACUGGGACGGAGACACGGCCCAGACUCCUAAGGGAGGCAGCAGUAGGGAAUCUUCGGCAAUGGACGGAAGUCUGACCGAGAAACGCCGCGGGAGUGAAGAAGGGUGUCGGAUCGUAAAGCUCGGUUGUAAGAGAAGAACGAGUGUGAGAGUGGAAAGUUCACACUGUGACGGUAGCUUACCAGAAAGGGACGGCUAACUACGUG